RNAcentral lists this unclassified non-coding RNA (402 nucleotides) under Hevea brasiliensis (rubber tree). The record is from RNAcentral. Lineage: Eukaryota; Viridiplantae; Streptophyta; Magnoliopsida; Malpighiales; Euphorbiaceae.
GGAAUGUAGCCUGAGAACGCAUUUUAUACAACUAAAACGUGUACCUUCCAGCCUAACAACAAAAGUGUAAAGCUCAUGUUUCUUGACAGCCUACCCUAAAUGCUAACAACAGACCAGAUCUUUUUUCCUCGGAUUGAACAAGCCAGAUGUAAUACGAGAAGUACCAAUUAAUGGUCGGUUGCUCUUAAAAGCAGAAGAUAGCACACUUGCCUCUUGGCAUAAAAAAAAAAUGGCUAUAUUAUAUAUGCAUAGACGGCAUGGAGUUGUCAUUCUCAAUAUUCAGAUUAGAUUGUAUAAAGGUACUUUCUCUAUAGGACAGAAAAAAAAAAUAUAUGUAAAUAUGUUCUUAUUCAAUAGUUCUUGAUGAAGUUCGUUCUAACUCGUUUGUGUGUAUUUACGAGG